UAGUCCACGCCGUAAACGAUGAUUACUCGCUGUAGGCGGUACACAGUCUGUGGCUAAGCGAAAGUUUUAAGUAAUCCACCUGGGGAGUACGAUCGCAAGAUUGAAACUCAAAGGAAUUGACGGGGGCCCGCACAAGCGGAGGAACAUGUGGUUUAAUUCGAUGAUACGCGAGGAACCUUACCUGGACUUAAAUGUGCGUUGCAUAGAUCAGAGAUGGUCUUUUCUUCGGACUACGUACAAGGUGCUGCAUGGUUGUCGUCAGCUCGUGCCGUGAGGUGUCGGGUUAAGUCCCAUAACGAGCGCAACCCUUAUCCCUAGUUGCCAGCGGGUCAUGCCGGGGACUCUGAGGAGACUGCCACCGUAAGGUGUGAGGAAGGUGGGACGACGUCAAGUCAUCAUGGCCCUUAUGGGUAGGGCUACACACGUGCUACAAUGGGCAGUACAGAGGGUUGCGAAGCCGCGAGGUGGAGCUAAUCUCAGAAAACUGUUCGUAGUCCGGAUUGCACU
Molecule: ribosomal RNA, 507 nt
Filed under: uncultured bacterium
Lineage: Bacteria
Description: bacterial SSU rRNA
Rfam family: Bacterial small subunit ribosomal RNA
Source: RNAcentral